GUGAAAAUCCCUGUUCCCACCCGAUCACUGAAGUUAAGCAUCAUCGAGCGAGGACAGUUUUUGAUAGGGUGACCACCUGGGAAC
Trichonephila clavipes is the source of this 84-nucleotide non-coding RNA. The record is from the annotation of a GenBank genome assembly. NCBI's taxonomy places the organism in Eukaryota, Metazoa, Arthropoda, Arachnida, Araneae, Nephilidae.